AAGUCUCAGCGCACAUGGAUACAACAGUGGGUCUGUGAAUGGCUCCAUACAUCAGCAGUCAUCUCCGCGACAGAGUGUGGUUGGCGCUGCCCGGCCACGGGCUCCCAGUUGGACAUCCUCCAAAACCUUGUGGCUGAUACACGUCCGCCCACGUCGGCCAUGGUUCCCACUUGGGUUCCAGGUGCUUCCACGCUUGGCCUUCGUUCGCAGUGUGGUGGUGGAUGGCACCCAGCCAGCACUAAGACCAUCGUCCCCCCCCGGACAGUGUGUUGUGGUGGACCCAGGCUUGUCCCUCCUGGGACGGUUGCUCUGGCAGAAGUUCGGCGGCCCCGUAACAACGGGCCGCAGCCUCGGCCUGGUCGCACGGACUUCUGACCUAUCAGCUUGGACUGUGGUGUCGUGGACCACAGUGGCCUUGACGGGUAACGGAGAAUCAGGCUUCGAUUCCAGAGAGGGAGCCUGAGAAACGGCUACCACUACCAAGGUGGGCAGCAGGCGCGCAAAUUGCCCAAUGCAAACAAAUCUGCGAGGCAGCGACGAACUGCAGCAAUUCCACUGGCCUUCUUCGCCAGUGGAACUUGGAAUGGAUGCAAUCCAAAGACAGUGAUGAGUAACAACUGGGGGGCAAGUCUGGUGCCAGAAGCUGCGUUAAUUCCAGAUCCAAGGGCGUAUACUAACAUUGCUGCGGUUAAAACGC
Molecule: ribosomal RNA, 697 nt
Filed under: Euglena deses
Lineage: Eukaryota; Euglenozoa; Euglenophyceae; Euglenales; Euglenaceae
Description: bacterial SSU rRNA
Rfam family: Eukaryotic small subunit ribosomal RNA
Source: RNAcentral